UACGUAGGUGGCAAGCGUUGUCCGGAAUUAUUGGGCGUAAAGCGCGCGCAGGCGGCCUCUUAAGUCUGAUGUGAAAGCCCCCGGCUCAACCGGGGAGGGCCAUUGGAAACUGGGAGGCUUGAGUAUAGGAGAGAAGAGUGGAAUUCCACGUGUAGCGGUGAAAUGCGUAGAGACGUGGAGGAACACCAGUGGCGAAGGCGACUCUUUGGCCUAUAACUGACGCUGAGGCGCGAAAGCGUGGGGAGCAAACAGG
Molecule: ribosomal RNA, 253 nt
Filed under: uncultured bacterium
Lineage: Bacteria
Description: partial 16S ribosomal RNA
Rfam family: Bacterial small subunit ribosomal RNA
Source: RNAcentral